RNAcentral lists this ribosomal RNA (497 nucleotides) under uncultured bacterium. RNAcentral's name for it is "partial 16S ribosomal RNA". It matches the Rfam family "Bacterial small subunit ribosomal RNA", at positions 28 to 507 of the family's 1533-position model. The record is from RNAcentral.
GAUGAACGCUGGCGGCGUGCCUAAUACAUGCAAGUCGAGCGAACAGACGAGGAGCUUGCUCCUCUGACGUUAGCGGCGGACGGGUGAGUAACACGUGGAUAACCUACCUAUAAGACUGGGAUAACUUCGGGAAACCGGAGCUAAUACCGGAUAAUAUAUUGAACCGCAUGGUUCAAUAGUGAAAGACGGUUUUGCUGUCACUUAUAGAUGGAUCCGCGCCGCAUUAGCUAGUUGGUAAGGUAACGGCUUACCAAGGCGACGAUGCGUAGCCGACCUGAGAGGGGGAACGGCCAACACGGAACCGAGACCCGGUCCAGACUCCUAAGGGAGGGCGGAGGAGGGAAUCUUUCGGAAUGGGCGAAAGCCUGACGGAGCAACGCCGCGUGAGUGAUGAAGGUCUUCGGAUCGUAAAACUCUGUUAUUAGGGAAGAACAAAUGUGUAAGUAACUAUGCACGUCUUGACGGUACCUAAUCAGAAAGCCACGGCUAACUACGUG